RNAcentral lists this long non-coding RNA (1524 nucleotides) under Bos indicus x Bos taurus (hybrid cattle). RNAcentral describes it as "lncRNA (ENSBIXG00005023075.1)". Lineage: Eukaryota; Metazoa; Chordata; Mammalia; Artiodactyla; Bovidae. The record is from RNAcentral.
AAAUGUGACACAGCCCUGAACACUUCACCUUGUGCUCUGGUCCUGGGCACUUGUACCCCCACCCCACCUCACACACACCCCACGUACACACACACACCACCUCACACACACACACACCACCUCACACACACACACACACCACCUCACACACACACACACCCACACACAAACACACCACCUCACACACACACACACCACCUCACACACACACACCCCACACACACAAAACACACCACCUCACACACAUACACAUACCACCUCACACAAACACACACCACCUCACACACACACCACCUCAACAUACACACACACCCCACCUCACACACACCCCACAUACACACACACACCACCUCACACACCCACACACAAAACACACCAUCUCACACACACACACAUACCACCUCACACACACCCCACAUACACACACACACCACCUCAACAUACACACACACCCCACCUCACACACAUCCCACAUACACACACACACCACCUCAACAUAAACACACACCCCACCUCACACACAUACACACCACCUCACAGACCACCUCAACAUUCACACACACCCCCACAUACACACACACACCACCUCACACACACACACACACACACACACACACAAACACACCACCUCACACACACACACCACCUCAACAUACACACACACCCCACCUCACACACACCCCACAUACACACACACCACCUCAACAUACACACACACCCCACCUCACACACACCCCACAUACACACACACCACCUCAACAUACACACACACACCACCUCAACAUACACACACACACCACCUCAACAUACACACACACCCCACCUCACACACAUACACACACCCCACCUCACACACACACACACCACCUCACACACACACACACCACCUCACACACACAAACACACCACCUCAACAUUCACACACCCCCCACAUACACACACACACCACCUCAACAUAAACACAUACACCACCUCUCACACACACACACACACCACUUCACACACACACACACCACCUCAACAUACACACACACCCCACAUACACACACACACCACCUCAACAUAAAUACACAUACUCCACCUCACACACACACCCCACACAAUACUCACACACACCACAUAACACACACCACCUCAACAUACACACACCCCACACAAUACUCCUCACACACAACACAUACACACACCACCACAACAUACACACACCUCCCACACACAUAUUCUUCACACAUAAACACACACACACUAUACACUCUUAUACGCCCCCACCUAUCAGGCACACAGACCGUAGAGAACACACAGUUACCACAUACGCACACACCUCAACACACACAUACACGCACCCCCACACAUUGCAAAUAUGCCACAUUAUAUAUCACACACACAUUAUACCACAUACUACACACACACACCCCACACCAUACAUACCAGCAUGCAACACACACACAUACCCAAGCCAAAAGCCUGUUUUGGGGAGUAGUAACUGGUAAUUUGUUUUUGCCCGAGGACGAGCCUCACAGGUAA